CUACCCUGGAGCCCUGCUCUGCGAUGGGCCCCGUCCCUACGGACGGGCCCGAAACCCGUGGGCGCCGUCGUCUGGCCCUGAGCGUAGCAAGAGAAAUCCCUCGCUCGGAGUGUCUUGCGGCGGCCGCCCCGACCCAUUUUACAA
This 144-nucleotide unclassified non-coding RNA is filed under the name uncultured Venturiaceae. Its description in RNAcentral is "sequence contains ITS2". Lineage: Eukaryota; Fungi; Ascomycota; Dothideomycetes; Venturiales; Venturiaceae. The record is from RNAcentral.